This 728-nucleotide ribosomal RNA is filed under the name uncultured bacterium. Its description in RNAcentral is "bacterial SSU rRNA". It matches the Rfam family "Bacterial small subunit ribosomal RNA", at positions 50 to 773 of the family's 1533-position model. The record is from RNAcentral.
AACACAUGCAAGUCGAGCGGUAGAGAGAAGCUUGCUUCUCUGAGAGCGGCGGACGGGUGAGUAAUGCCUAGGAAUCUGCCUGGUAGUGGGGGAUAACGUUCGGAAACGGACGCUAAUACCGCAUACGUCCUACGGGAGAAAGCAGGGGACCUUUCGGGCCUUGCGCUAUCAGAUGAGCCUAGGUCGGAUUAGCUAGUUGGUGGGGUAAUGGCUCACCAAGGCGACGAUCCGUAACUGGUCUGAGAGGAUGAUCAGUCACACUGGAACUGAGACACGGUCCAGACUCCUACGGGAGGCAGCAGUGGGGAAUAUUGGACAAUGGGCGAAAGCCUGAUCCAGCCAUGCCGCGUGUGUGAAGAAGGUCUUCGGAUUGUAAAGCACUUUAAGUUGGGAGGAAGGGCAGUUGCCUAAUACGUAACUGUUUUGACGUUACCGACAGAAUAAGCACCGGCUAACUCUGUGCCAGCAGCCGCGGUAAUACAGAGGGUGCAAGCGUUAAUCGGAAUUACUGGGCGUAAAGCGCGCGUAGGUGGUUUGUUAAGUUGGAUGUGAAAUCCCCGGGCUCAACCUGGGAACUGCAUUCAAAACUGACUGACUAGAGUAUGGUAGAGGGUGGUGGAAUUUCCUGUGUAGCGGUGAAAUGCGUAGAUAUAGGGAGGAACACCAGUGGCGAAGGCGACCACCUGGACUGAUACUGACACUGAGGUGCGAAAGCGUGGGGAGCAAAC